CCUGGCUCCGUUGAGCGCUGGCGGCGCGCCUAACACAUGCAAGUCGAACGAGAGAUGAGGAGCUUGCUCUUCAAAUCGAGUGGCGAACGGGUGAGUAACGCGUGAGGAACCUGCCUCAAAGAGGGGGACAACAGUUGGAAACGACUGCUAAUACCGCAUAAGCCCACAGCUCGGCAUCGAGCAGAGGGAAAAGGAGCAAUCCGCUUUGAGAUGGCCUCGCGUCCGAUUAGCUAGUUGGUGAGGUAACGGCCCACCAAGGCAACGAUCGGUAGCCGGACUGAGAGGUUGAACGGCCACAUUGGGACUGAGACACGGCCCAGACUCCUACGGGAGGCAGCAGUGGGGAAUAUUGCACAAUGGGGGAAACCCUGAUGCAGCGACGCCGCGUGGAGGAAGAAGGUCUUCGGAUUGUAAACUCCUGUUGUUGAGGAAGAUAAUGACGGUACUCAACAAGGAAGUGACGGCUAACUACGUGCCAGCAGCCGCGGUAAAACGUAGGUCACAAGCGUUGUCCGGAAUUACUGGGUGUAAAGGGAGCGCAGGCGGGAGAACAAGUUGGAAGUGAAAUCCAUGGGCUCAACCCAUGAACUGCUUUCAAAACUGUUUUUCUUGAGUAGUGCAGAGGUAGGCGGAAUUCCCGGUGUAGCGGUGGAAUGCGUAGAUAUCGGGAGGAACACCAGUGGCGAAGGCGGCCUACUGGGCACCAACUGACGCUGAGGCUCGAAAGUGUGGGUAGCAAACAGGAUUAGAUACCCUGGUAGUCCACACCGUAAACGAUGAUUACUAGGUGUUGGAGGAUUGACCCCUUCAGUGCCGCAGUUAACACAAUAAGUAAUCCACCUGGGGAGUACGACCGCAAGGUUGAAACUCAAAGGAAUUGACGGGGGCCCGCACAAGCAGUGGAGUAUGUGGUUUAAUUCGACGCAACGCGAAGAACCUUACCAAGUCUUGACAUCCCUUGACGAACAUAGAAAUAUGUUUUCUCUUCGGAGCAAGGAGACAGGUGGUGCAUGGUUGUCGUCAGCUCGUGUCGUGAGAUGUUGGGUUAAGUCCCGCAACGAGCGCAACCCUUAUGGUCAGUUACUACGCAAGAGGACUCUGGCCAGACUGCCGUUGACAAAACGGAGGAAGGUGGGGAUGACGUCAAAUCAUCAUGCCCUUUAUGACUUGGGCUACACACGUACUACAAUGGCGUUAAACAAAGAGAAGCAAGACCGCGAGGUGGAGCAAAACUCAGAAACAACGUCCCAGUUCGGACUGCAGGCUGCAACUCGCCUGCACGAAGUCGGAAUUGCUAGUAAUCGUGGAUCAGCAUGCCACGGUGAAUACGUUCCCGGGCCUUGUACACACAG
This 1352-nucleotide ribosomal RNA is filed under the name uncultured bacterium. Its description in RNAcentral is "bacterial SSU rRNA". It matches the Rfam family "Bacterial small subunit ribosomal RNA", at positions 18 to 1392 of the family's 1533-position model. The record is from RNAcentral.